RNAcentral lists this transfer RNA (70 nucleotides) under Ictidomys tridecemlineatus (thirteen-lined ground squirrel). RNAcentral describes it as "Spermophilus tridecemlineatus (thirteen-lined ground squirrel) tRNA". It matches the Rfam family "tRNA". From Rfam's summary of the family: Transfer RNA (tRNA) molecules are approximately 80 nucleotides in length. Their secondary structure includes four short double-helical elements and three loops (D, anti-codon, and T loops). The record is from Rfam by way of RNAcentral. Lineage: Eukaryota; Metazoa; Chordata; Mammalia; Rodentia; Sciuridae.
GGGGAUAUAGCUCAGUUGGUAGAGUGUUUGCCUUGUGCGCACAAGGCCCUGGGUUCAAUCCCCAGCACCA